AGCGAACCUGGGGGUUGGGAGGAGAGGGACUGUCACUGCCAGGCGCUGCCAGGUGAGCUCACAGAUGCACAAGGUGGAGGGGAGCAGGUCUCUUGCACAGCUCCUGACCCCAGCCUUGCAGGCACCUGGACAUCUUCCCAACCCAUGGAGCAAACGGAUGGCAGGGAGCACGGGAUGGGAGAGCCCCGUCUGUCAGUGCAGCCCAGCCCCACUGAGAGGAGGGAGCAGGAGGGAGCAGGGGGUCAGCGCUGUCUGCACGGACCACGGGCGGUAUCACCGGAUGGGUGCAGCAUUCCCGGCCGACAGCGACAUCCCCGGGUGAGCACGGAACGGCCCCGUUACAGCACGGCUGGGAAUCUCCUGCCCCUGCACCUGACAGAAGAAGCCAGAGAGCUGGUGUCCCCCACCUCCAUGCUCAGCACUACCUGGCUGGACUUCCUCCCCAUCCCAACACCGAGGCGAGGAGCCACAACAGCACAGGAGGAUCCAUCCAGCUCUGAAUGCUGCCAUGAGAGCUGAGCCAGAACUGCCUGCCUUGCCUCCAACGGUCUUUUAAAUCCUCCUAGGGGUGGUGACUCCACCAUUGCCCGGGCAGCCCAUGCCAGGGCUUGACAACUCAUUCAGCGAAGAAAUUUUUCUCUAGUAUCCAGUCUAACCCUCCCCUGGCACCACUUGAGGCUGUUUCCUGUUGUCCCAUCGCCCAGGACUUCAUCCACUGGCAGGGACUGCGUGAGCCAGUGUCAGGAGAGAACCAGGGACUGAUGGAGGCACCAGACACAGCCUGAGUUGUGCUGGGGAAUAUUUUGGCCUGGAAUGACUGACUAAAAAUGUUUUCAUGGAGUGUCACAAAGCACUUCAUCACCGGGGGUGGCUUUUGGGGUAACCAUGGUGCAGCGGCUCCGAGUCUGUAGGCGAAGCCACAUCCGGGCGGGCCAGGAGCCCAUAGGAAUCCAAAAGCAGCCCCUCCACCAGCUGGGAGGGAGCUGGAACAAAGGCAUUAGGCAGCAUAAGGAGAUUUACAUUUGCAAAGCUAUUUCCAUUUUAAUAAGGCAAAGUGCUGUUAAAUAGAGAUUGAUAUUUCUCCCCAAAUACCCAUAUUUUUAAACUGGUUUACAUCAACAAGA
Molecule: long non-coding RNA, 1124 nt
Organism: Taeniopygia guttata (zebra finch)
Lineage: Eukaryota; Metazoa; Chordata; Aves; Passeriformes; Estrildidae
Source: RefSeq, a predicted model, not a curated record